This is a non-coding RNA of Salvia hispanica, 4694 nucleotides long. Lineage: Eukaryota; Viridiplantae; Streptophyta; Magnoliopsida; Lamiales; Lamiaceae. The record is from RefSeq and is a predicted model, not a curated record.
CUAUAAAUAACACGCCUUCUCUCAUUCCCAAAAUCAUCCCUAAUCUGAUCCAAUUCUCGUUAUGCCGUUCUCCGUCUUCUGUUUUCGUGUUUGCUCGAGUUAAUUGUUGGUUUGUCGUCUAAUUUGCGUUGAUUCUUGCAACUUUGGUGAUCUGGUUGUGUUUUCCAUCGGAAUUCUACUAACCUUCCUAACGAACUCGCGAUAAUAGACGUUCUAGCGGAUGGUUCAAUCUACUUUUGAUGUUUGUGAUUUUCUGUAGAUUCUUCAGCUGAUUUGAUCUAUUCGGUUGUUUGCAAUGGUUGAAGAUCAAAAGCGGUUAUCGUUUCAAGUUUUGAUGGUCUAUUUAGGUUAUGAUAUAUUCAUCCGUGAAUACUUCCUGGGCUUACUUUCAUUUGUAUCUGUAGGGGGGAAAUCCUCUGGGUAGCUCGAGCUCGUGACCUAUCGGUUUUGAUGGUUAUUGGCAGUUUUUGGAAGCGCCUAUGGUUUGAUGUGUUUACUUAUUAUGUCGUCUUUAGCUGGUCAGAUGUGCAUCUUCAAGACGACGUUCAUGAUUUUUUUUCGGCAUUUUAUUUCCCUGAUUUUCGUCCGUCAAUCUUAUGCCAAAGGUGCUGUUUCCUUGACUUGGUGUCUCCAUAACCUUAAAUUGCAGAUUGGAAUUGUUGAGGAGGGUUGCAGAUGGCUAGAUUUAGUGACUGGGGGACUGCUUAAGCGUGCGAUUUCUUUCUGUUUUAUUUGAGCGGUAUUUCCCCCUGUUUUUGUGUGCUGUUCUCAUGCCCAUUAACUCACGGUGUCUUGGUUUUACCACCAAAUAUAUUCAAACAUUUACUAGUUCAUGUUGCCAUUCGUAAUUAGUUUUUCAGUUCUAUAUUUCUCAGUCUUUUUGAGGUCUUUAGGUAUGUGAUGCACUUUACUCCCUCUCUCCUCUUCAUUUUUCAGUGUCGUUUGGAAUAUAUGCUCUUACCAAUUUGUCAUAUUUCAUUCAUUUUGGUUUGAUUCCAUAGGAUGGCCACCCCUGAUUCAUCUAGCAUUUAUAUCCUAGGCUUUUUAGAAGCUUCAGCCCAGAUAAGUAUCUUACAAUUUAAGUUUUGGCUUAUUAAAUUCCCUUUUUCUAAUUUUCUUUCAUUUGGGUUCAUUACUAUUUAGCAACUUCAGAUCUGUCUAACUGAUAUCUGUUCAACAGUUCAAGCUGCAGCUAAUUUGGUCUGUUUAUGUAGUGCUGAUGUGGGAGUGUAGUGGUGGUCUCAUGUCUAUUAUAUUUUUCUCCUUGUUUCCCCUCUGCAUAUAUUUGUCCCUCUCUUUUCAGAGGUUCGACUUUUAGGUGGUUCUAGGUCUUUGACAAUGGAGAGCCGGUUUGACAAGCUUAUCCCUUUUUACUUGCCCUCAUAAAUCAUAUAUCAAAUCAUUUUUUGGCAUAGCUAACGUUGAGAAAUUAACAAUUCUGUGAUUUUUCAUCCAUCAAAUCUAGCUUGCAGAGUGCUAUGUGGAUCCCUAAUUAUACUGUUAAACCAGGUAUAUAUUCAUGUUAGUGUUUAGUGCUAAUAUAUCCUGUUGUGCUUUGUUGGGAAUUUUCCAGUGCUAGUGCAUUUGUCCUGACUGAUAGUGACAAGUGAAGUCAUCUACAUGAAGAUAUGGAGAUGUUUUCUCGCACCUUGUGACAGGGAAUAUUAGGAAUAAUCAAUGGUUCCAUCCGAGUUAAUGGAUCUUAUGGUGCGGCUAUCUUGAUCCUGUUAUUGGAAAAACCAUGAACUUUUAGAUGCCGGCAUUGAUAUAGUAGCAGAGGGAGUAUAGUGUUUCUUCUACAUCAUUUACCUUACACCUAGAUUAUCCUCUUGCUUAUCCUUAUCCUUAUCAAUUUCCAGAGAUCUUUGUGAGGUUCUUGGUCAGUUUCCAUCAUAAGGCGGUUCUGGUUUGAUGCUUGUCCCUUUGUGCAGUUUCAUCAACUUCAUUUUCUAUAUGGAUAUGGAUAUUGGUUUUUUUGACUCACUCUGACAGGAGAAACUGAGAGUAAAUUAUGAUUCCGCUGGCUCCGUUCUUGCAUUGAUGUAUCAUGUUUAUGGAGGGUGGUAGAGGGAGUAGUAUAUUACCUUACAACAUUUUUCCUCCUCGUAGAACUUCCCCGUACUUACUGUUUUGCUCUUUAAUAUCCAGAGAUCUUGGGGUGGCUCUCUAUCAGUAUCCAUAAGAUGGCAGUUCUGGUUUUCAUGCUUGGUUCCCUUUGGUCUGUUUCUUUCACUUUACUUUGUACGUCAAUGUGGUUGUAGAUAUGGUUGCUUCUUUCUUCAUCCUGUGACAGGUGAUGUUGAGUUAUGGUGCAAUCCAAGUAGGAUCUUAAGAUAUCUGAUGCUGGCAUCUCUGUAAUGUUUUGGAUGCUGCCAGAGGGAGCAUAUAUUUUAUCUUUUUCAUUUUUCUUCUAUCUAGACUUUCUUAUUGCUUAUUGUUAUACCCUUCAUAUUCCAGAUCUUAUCUUUUGAUGGGUCUUAAAUGGUUUUCACUGGAAGUCCGUUCUGUUCUGGUUUGGUAAUUGGUUUCCUCUGCUUCAUCUCAUCUGCUUUUAUUUUUUCAUAUUGUGGUGUGGAUAUUGUUUUCUGCUUCACGCCUGUGGCAGGUGAUACAAAGAACAAAAAGUACCAAAAAGUGGGAAGAUAAUGGGCUAAGAAAAUCAGUAGAGUAAGAUAUUGCUUCAAAAAGUUUGUGGGAUAAGCCAAAAUGAAAUUUUUCUGGAGAAUUAAAUGAAACAUUUUAAAGAAAAAAGUAAAUUAUGAUUAAUCUUAUGUUAGAGCUGUUCUUCUGGAGUUAUAGGGCUAUUUAUUUUUCAUAUGUUCUGUUCUACUAGCCUUCAUUUUUUGCAUCUGCAUUUCUACAUUCCAAAUCACCUAUAUUUCUAGGACUGAUGCUAAUUAUGUGCUACAGUUUUUCUUAUGUUCUGUUACUAGCCUUAUUUAUGUUUAUUUUUUGUUCCUCUAUUUUCAGAGGAUUGGCAUCCAGUUGUUCCUUGUCGGUUACAAUGGAUAGAUCUGGUUCGACAGGCUUGCCCCUUUCCAUUUAAUGAAAAAUUUCAUGUUAGAAUAUACCCUUUUGUUUGACCCCUUUGAAUUCUCGGUUGUGCUUCUAACCAGAGCAAGGUUCAGCAUUUGUUGGGUCUUGUCAUUAUGCUCAGUUACGGUGUUCAAGUCUGCAUGUCUACAUUCAGUCAUUUUCAGCAGUGUUUUGAAGUUGUGGACUAUGGGUACAUGGCUACUACAUUCAGUAAUUUUGCGUAGGUAUUAAGUUUAAUGUGGAUUACGGCGUAGGUAUCCAAGUUUAAUGUGGAUUAUGGCGGAGCACUGAUUUCUAGGGACAUGUGAUACAGUUGAUAAUGCAAAAUUAUCACUACUAAUAGCAGCUUUUCUUCAUUCGUACAUAUAGUUUUGAUUUGCAGCUUUUGAGUGAGUGGAAUCAAUGGCUCCCUUUUCUGGGAUGUUUGGUGAGCUUGAUCUCUCUUCUUUGCCUUGUCCUGUUUGCUUUAAAAGCUGACAUGAUGGUUUUCCUCACCUUGUGAUCCCUAUGCUGGCAAUGUGUGUGAGAUCAAUGUGCUACUAGUGAAAGAUUGGCUGUGUUCACUUCAUUAGGUCCGUCUUUUUGUUCAUUUGGAGGUCGUCAGGAGUUUUUCAUAUAUCUGUUCAAGGUUAUCGUUUCAAUAUUUCCGUACAUAAUGGAACAUCCUUACAUUUGUUGUGGUGGUUUGCUCUGGCUCCCACCAUAUCUAAUAGUGCUUGGCGGUCUUUGUUUGGUUUCGCAAUGAUAGCUCAACUGGGCGGUCUUUGUUUGGUGUCUGCAAUGAAUGCUCAAAUGGACUCUGUGACAGGGGGAGUGAAGUAGCUGUUAUGCUCCAUUUUGUCUUCUACAUUGUUUUUAUGCUUAUCUAUGGCUAUGCUCCUUAAUUUCCAGAGGUUUGGUCGUUGGGCGAUGUGGUGGACUUUUGUGGCUAACAGAAAGUUGUGGCUAGAUCAUGGACUGCAUCAUAUUUAGGUAUUCUUUGUCCUGGGUGUCCAACUUAUCCUUCUCCUAUGGGUUCUUGAGUUUUGUCUGCAGUGAUCUUUUCUCUUGAGCAUGUGAUUAUUACGUUUGCUGCCAUGGUUUCUCUGGUCUGCUUUUGCACAUACACCAAGUGAAACUUUUGGCUGAUGAAUCAGACUUGAUGCUAUGAUAGAGAGGCAGGAGUGGUGUAGGACAUUGUUUGAUCAGAUGCUUCUGUUCUUUUUUGCUACUCAAAUUGAUUUGAUUAGUACAUUGUUUGAUCAGAAGCUUCUGUUGGUUCAUCAAGCAUGACAGUUCGUGGUCGUUUUAUUUCUUGUCCUUAAUAUCCUUGUUACUGUGGACCUGCUUUUUCUGGUUUGAAGGUUCUCAACUCAGAAUCAUGCCUAGGCUGACUUCUAGUAGGCUUUUCAACAUUGUAACACACCUAUUGCUUGCUAAUUUCCAUCUUGAAGCACUAUGCAUAGUAGAAAAAAAAUGCUUAGGCUGACUUCUGGUAGGUCUUUGAACAUUGUAAUACAUCUUUUGCUUGCUAAUUGCUAUCUUGAAGCACUAUGUAUAGCGGAAACAAAAUGUUUAUGCUGACUUCUAGUAGGUCUUGCAACAUUGUAAUACAUCUUUUGCUUGCUGAUUGCUAUCUUGAAGCCUAUAGUGGAAAUAAAAUGCUGUUUGUUUUGAUA